AAGCAAGCAUCGCCUUCUAAUUAAAUUUACCUUUAUGGAAAGUCCUGUUUAAAUUACGACAAUGUCUUGUACAUAAAUCGCGCAACUAAUCCCUGAUUAAAUAGUCGAAUUAAUUGGUUCCAUCAAUUUAACAGUUUUGGGAACCGAUUAUUUUGUUCGAAAGAUCUCGACUUAUUACGUAAGAUACGUCGAAAUAUUGCUUAGCCUUGGUAUUCUGUAAAGCGUGGAAAGUCUAAGAAUUACGACGAGUCGAAAUAAAAACGUUUAAAACGAUCGAAUUCACGCGAUUAAAAUAAUAUUCUGACACGCGACAGACGAUUUGCACAUAAACUUUGGCGAUAAUGGCACGUAAAAGCAUUCGUUUAAAAAUAAUUUCAUGCUGAUUGAUCGGCAGGUUGUGGUAGAAAGCAACUUGGACUCUGUCUCGAUCCUUAUAUCCUGAUUAAUCGAUCGCUCGUUAAUUCAUCGUCGAGUCUACACACUGUCGUUCGACACACCUCUUUACCGUGAUCAAACGAUCGUUCACCUUCUCACAACAACGAUAAAUCACGUCCCUUCAGCCUUGUAUAUUCCUUGCAACCUGAAUCAACGACCUCGCUAUGUAAAUCCAAACUUGUGCAGAAAUAAACCAACUUCGUCUCUCCGAGCGACCAAUCACGUAAUUCUCUACAAUUCGCCGAAGCUCAAGUUGAUCUCGCAGUAUGAUUCAUAGCUGGCGGAAUGUUCGAGGAAAUCGAAUUGAAUCGUCGAAGAACGAUCUGAACGCGGACGAAGUUUCGUUACGGCACGUACGGAGCGUGUACGACAGGUACAACGUACGUUUACACGCCAGACAGCUGAAUGAGCGUUUGUUUUAAACUAACGAUAAAUUUUCCUUGGGAUUUUUUAACAAACAUUCACGGACGUUAGGAUACUGGCUUGUAAUUACGUUUGAACUAGCUUUCCAAUUUAUAGAAACAAUUUCCAACAAUUAGCAGUUGACGUGUACAAUUUCCUGAUCUCAGAUCUACAGAAACUGUUUAGGAAAAUGUUAGAAAAUAACAAAUAUCAAGAAUAUAUGUAUUCUACUCGUCUCAUAUCCUAACUUCUAUUCUCUAAUCCUCCAUAUCCAUGGAUGUCAUAUAUACAAAAUCCGAUACCAACAUCCCACAUCCAAUCUUCUCUAUUUCAUUCCAUUACUCCAUACCUUAGAUUUUCCACCCAUUAUCUUCAGUCCCACAUCCCGUUUUCCACAUACCAGUUCGAUAAUCCCGUGUCAGACGUAAGACGAGUAUGCGACGCGAAAGAUAUUUUCUAAGGAUACUGGAUGUGGGUUAUAGAAUAUGAAAAAGAGAAUAUGAAUUGGGCAUGAGAUAUGGAAUGGAGAGCCUUAGUGUGGCAAGUAAGAUAAAAUAUGUACACGAGUUAGCGAUACUAGUUAUGGGGCACAGGGUAUGAGAUAAGGUGUAUGAAAUAUGGAAUGUGGGAUGAAACGUGGUGAACCGUGGAACGGGCCUGAAAUAAUGCAUAUGGAAUAAUGGGUAUUAGAUUCUGGAUAUUGGAUGUAGGAUAUGCGAAUAGCGUGGGAUGGAAAUGGUGAGGUGUAACGCGCAACUUUUGAAUACGUUUGCCUUAGUAGUUACGGAAAAUGGAGUAUUGGUUUUGGGAUACACGAUGCAAGAUACGACGUAGAACGUAGAAGAUGGGAUAUGGUAUAGCGUUUGUGACGCGUGAUCUAAAUAACCGCGUACGUACGAAAUCGUGUAUCGCGAUAGAAAAUCACAACGACAGAAAUAGAGGUGAUAAGGGAUGCGCGGCGCGUUCCAACUGUUUGCGGUGAUCCCGUUAUUAUAAUCUUUAAAUAGUGACGCGAUUGUUUCGUAAUUAAUUACAAAUUGGCACAGCGGCCAGGGUACCGAUGGUGGCUGACCGACCGAAAAUAAAGCCGGUCGGUAUCGCGCCAAUCGCGUAAAUCACAAUAAAAGCCGGACAGCCGGCCAUGAUUAUCCUCUCCGUCCCGUGACAGAGAUGCGACGGCACUUCACGUCGCGUCGGAUGGAAACGCCUCGAGCGUUCUCGUCGGACAGCAGUCCAUCCUCUUGGCCCCGCUUCAAAACCGAAGUCUGGAUUUUCAAGGAUUAUAUUUCGCUUGGUAAAACGUUGAAGAGCUACGCGACCGGAGUUUCAGCGUGUUACGAGAGAGGGAAAUUGAUUCUUGCAACAGGGCAGGUCAAAACGUGAACUUCAAUAUAUUUAUUUAUCUUUGUCGAAGUAACUACUUCGUAAAAAACUUGAAAUCUUUAUUUAUGUAUAUCCGUGACCUGCAGACUGCUAUUACGCAGAAAUAUUCUAAAUAAGAAGAGGCGCAUAUUAUUGUACCCUUGAACGUACGUUAUGUUUUCGGUUGCAAAGUCUAAGAACAAAGGGACUAAUAAACAAAUUUCUAUUUGUGUUCCCCGUAGCCUCUAGCCAAAGCUAUAAGGUUAACCUUUUUGGUAAUGUCUUUUUGCUAUAAAUACACGAACGUGUUCCCUAUCAUUCCAUUGUUUAGUAACACUACGAGAGUAAGGAUCUGAAUCGGCAUAAACUUAUACUUACAGCGACGAGCAAAAGUGUAAACACACUUUUGUAACUAUCCGACCGAAUACAGUGUGCGAUCUCACAUGCUACUCUAUCCCAAAAUAAGUCGCGGUCUGCCGUUUUGCGAAGAAAUUGGUGCACCAACGUACUUUUCUCUUAUUCUUGCAACUAUCGUAUGACCGACACCAUAUCUCUCUGCAAUUUGCCGCAACGACAAACCUUUAUCACACAAACAAGUAAUACUGUUCUUUUUAUCUUCACUAAGUGGCUUCAUCUUGGAUUAAGCAUAUCAAACUGAAAAGUAAUCAAACGAUGGUGUGGAGCAGUUGACUGCGAAACAUUGGACGAUCAGUGUUUAUUGACAGUUUUUCGUUUCCCUGACGUUUACACGCUAUCAUAAACGUUUCCGACGAAUCCGAUCGCUUGAAAAAUUAGUCGUAGUAUCGCCUUUUACAUAAAAUCAGCGCAGUGUGUUUACACUUUUGCUCGUCGCUGUAUACCUUUAAUUAUUUCAAUAUACUUUUCUAUUACAAAUUCAUCCACUCGUUCUUCGAUCAGUCAACCUCAACCUCGACAAUCUUCAAACUGAACACAGUUUUAAGAUUGUUCUAUAUUUUUGUUACCUCUUUUCUUCCGUUUUGUUCCUUUAUAUCUAUCAGUUUUAUUCGUUUAUUUAAAUUUGUUAUUUCGUUCGUAUUCCUCGUAUAGUUUAUUCUAUUAAUCUUUGUUCGCUUAUUGUAUCUACUCUUUUCUGGCAUAUUUAUUUAACUUUUUAAAUUUUAUUUAUCCCUAUCUUAUUCCGUUAUAUCUACUUCUUUCAUUCGCUGUAUUUUUCUUCCCUUCAUUUUAUUCUUCUCGUUUUAUUUCUUUUCUCUUUGAUGGGGAGUUGCGAAUACUUGAAAUUAAUAAUUAAAGAAAAUAACGAAAACGAACGAACGGCGACUAGAAUCUCGAACGUUUCAGACUCGAAGAUAGACUUUCGGUAGAAUUUUAUUUUCUAUGGAACUUUAAGUAUUUGUCAUAUCUACCUACGAUAUGCUGUGCGAUAUGUUUGUAUAGAAUAUGCAAAUUUCAGUGGGUCGACGAGAAAUACAAACGCAUCACCUUUUAACUCCGGAUUACCAUAUUAAUAUUAUCGUUUAUCAUCGUUUCAAUCGUUUAAACGAACAACCAUCCUCCCGUAACGAAAGUUAUGACAAAUUUUAAACGAUUAUGCAUACACUGUGUUAUAAUUGCACGCGUAAACCCAGCGAAUUAAUCGUUCCCUACCAUCGAAUGCAUUUGUAAUCUGACGCUCCGGACGAAUCAAUAUAAACUAAAUGCAACGAUGGACCAUUUUACAUAGAACGAAAUAAAUAACAAAGGAAAACGUGAUAAUUUCUUGCAUAAAUAUUUCGACCUAAUCUUUUCUCCUUUGAAUACACUUUUUCAAGAUUUUAUUAACGAUUUGCAAUUUCCUUUUGCUUUUUUCAACCCACUGCCGAGUAGAAAUUAAUCCAACGUUUCCAUCGAUCGUUCCUUUCUUUCCUUUACCUGCACUCGUACUCGAAACACUCGUGUAUUCGUAUUGGAUUGCUUCUCGAGCACUCGUCGAAUCGAACAAACCUCGCCCGGUUAAUUUAGAACUUCUUACGUUUUUCGUACACUCGAACAAUUGUACGGAUUCUUUACCGCUUCAUUUUCUGUACGGUUGCGAAGUGCUUAGUGGAUAAAACGACGAAUUGAACUAGUUGUAAGUUACGAUAACCUUAACCUACUUUUUACCUUCCACAAGAUAUAAGUAUUUACAACAUAGGAAAUAAAGCGAGGAAUUUCUUCUACGGACAAAAGGGGUUCGCUUCUAAAAGCGUUAACGGAUUAGAAAAAUAUAGAAAAUGCUUUUGUUCGCUUCGUUAAAGACAACGGACGAUUAAUUAAAUAUUGACAACUCUUUCGGAUCGAAAGCUCAUUAAACGUAUUUACUUCGAGGAGUACUUGUUUAUUUCUCUGUUGGAAAUGGUUACAGAGAAAAUGAACCCUUUCUUCUACAUCGUAAAAAAAAAAAACCGGAAAAAGCGAAGAAGGAUUUCAUUUCAUUAGAGCACGUAAACGAAAUUAGGUCUGCCUUUCGGUGACUGUUCGUCUGGACGAUCUUGUCUCCACUGGUCGGCCAAAAAUUAAUCCGACGCUUCAAACGGCCUGCAGUCGGAACUCGCCAUUCGUAACACACAAUUUCCGUCACGUCGAUUUCCGCCGACAAGAAAAAAGACCGACGAGAUAAACACGCCAGCGCGUUGAUUAACGUUCCCGUUCAAUCGACUCAAAGGAUGCUUCUUCCUUGCUAUUUACUCGUUCGCCGUUUCUCUUUUUAUUUCACGAGAACUGUCUGGAUAUCUUCGAAGUUCGAAAGAAACAAGAUUUUCGGAAUUAUCGACUCGAAAAUUACUACAUCGCGGAGGAAAGGUCGAUGCCUUUAUAUAUCCGUGUUUCAUAUUUGCAAAAUAUAGAUACAACGUGAAAGAACUUCGGAGCUCGAGGAGAAUUUAAUUAUUCGAGCGAUUACAACGUUUAUGUUUUAUUUUGUAGACUUUGAUCGUUGUUUCGGACGAGUUGGCAUUGAAUAAUAAAUUAAUAAAAAUUGCAAUUUCUAAUUUCAGCCUCAACGAUCGAGGUCUAAGUGUAUCAGAUAUUUGAAAUUCCAAUUCUUUUCACCCAAGACGUAAAAUUUUCAGAUUAUAAAACGCGCGUAGUAGCGCAACGCCAUUGAAGCAUCAGAGCGCUAUGAAAUGGAUUCUUUUAAUCGCCUCAUUAUCACCGAGGGCCCGUCCAAGCUGGAAGCUGUUCGAUCGGCUCGUCGAACCGGAACAGGCAGCAAGAAAGCCGUCUGUCGCGGAUAAAAGCACAGGGCUUUUCCUUUUCACCGAAGGGAAAGAUUACCCUGCAAUUUAUGGAGCGGCUUGAAGAGGGUGUGUCAUCGAAGCGAAACCCAUCCCCUUGAUUCUCCUCCCCUUUGCCUAGAAAAACGGAAUCUUCCCUUAAAGCGAGGCUUGUUUGUAGUUGGACGCUCUAAUUAAUUGAUACGCGGUUGAUUAACGAUCACUGCUGAUAAAAUCGACGAAUAUACAACAUUUAUUUCCAUUAAUCUUGUCUGAUGUAAAACAUUGAAAUAUUAUCAAAAAUACGGUGACUCGCGCUAACUUCCGAAUAUUUCAUAGCAUCUAAACUUUGUUUAAUUGGCAAAACUACAUGCAUUAAAUUAAUAAAAUACCAGGAUGUCUCUACCAAUUGCAAUAUUUAUUUCGGUACGUUAAAAGACAGUCAAGCAAUUGGAUAUUAUAAACGAAUGUAUAGGAUAAUGAGAUGCGAAAUAAAGUACAAUGUACAGAUAACAAAUUUGUUCGAGCGUCGUUAUAAUUAUAAACUAAUAUUCGGAAAUUAGGAUAAAUUAGAAUAAAAGUUGCUACGCUAUUUAUACUCGAUUUAUCCUUUUACGCCCUACGAGUCCUUUCUCUAGAAAACCGCUCAAUUUUAUUUGAUAUAUGGCGUCGUACGAUAUUUAAUAUUUCCAUAAAUUUCUUCCACCGAUAUAAAACAUUUUCAUAAAUGGAACGCAAGACGGCGACAGCGGUGGUUAAAGAUCGGAAAUGGAAGGUUUUUAGAGAAGGCAGGAAGGUCUCAUAGAAAUUCGUUGCCUUCUAGAUGCUAUCAAAUGGGAUACAGGGGCGAGAGGGAAACGAAAUCGAUGGAUGAAUCGAAGAAACAGCGGAAAAAUCAAGGGAAAAGAAGCCUCCUCUGAAUUCCAGACCAAUCGUCCGCGGAAUUGCAGCGAUCUGCGCGACCAGGGAUUACUCGUGGAAACCAAUCGGCUCCUUUCAACCGAUUGAAUCGGUCGACAGAACCGGUUUUCUCGGUGAAUUAAACGGAAAUCCUAACCAAGAAUUUGGCUGGCCGAAGGGAAAACCGGAUGAGAACGAUCGUAAAUAUCGCACGAGGACGAAGGAACCAUUGCUCCAUAUAAGCAAAAUAGAGACAAUCCAAGCUAAAAUUCUUAGAUCAAUUGUAAACGUCCCAUGGUACGUUAGAAACGAGGACAUACGGAAAGACCUUGGAAUACCAACGGUCAAGGAAGAGAUUAGCAGAUUCGCAAGAAGGUGCAGAGAAAGAAUAGCAACGCACCCGAACCGGCUGGCAGCGGAAACGAUCAACACAAGCAUAGAAAGAAGACUAAAAAGGAAACACCCAGCAGAUCUCAUAAAGGAUAUAUCCUAACAAACACGAAGAUGGCACCCCAUUGGGGGUAGCCACCCACAUGAUAAUCAAACGACUAAAAAUUCUACCAAAUGUCCAAAUUGGACAAAUUGUGAAUGUGAAAUAUUAAAUUAAAAAAAAAAAAAAAUUAUUACAGUUGCGUGACUCUCGUUAAGAUCGACAUCUUCAAACUAACGUAAAUUCUCUUGUAUUGAUUUUAUUAAAAAGGAAUUGUAAUUUAUACUACAAAUACUCACACGAUACAAAAAACGAUUGGCAGGUGUUUGAUAUACGUUUCAAUUGUCUUUGCCAAUUCUUGAGAGCUAGAUGCCGAAAACAAUACGACCGUUUGUAAAUUUUUUUUCAUUCUCGAUGUACCCUAGAUACCACCGAACGUUCGCACGGCACAAUUUCCGCGUCGAACCGGAAGCCAUGCUGGCGUUCGUGCAGAAACACGGCAAAUCAAGGAAAGAAUGCGGCAGCGUUGACAAAGAGCGACGAAAACGACCAGCAAGAAACCCAUCCGUUUUCUGAAAAGCUCCUCGUCAAAGAAAUUCCUGCUGCCUAAACUGGAGAACCAGAACGCUCUUCAAAAGUUCGUCGAAACUUUUUAAAAGGAACAAUACUUUUCGCGAUCGUACAGAUAUACCAGUCGCUGUGCUCUGUCCAAAUAAUACUUAAACACACCUCUGUUGCGGCACAAGACGACGAUAGACCGUGUAAAAUCUUCGAACCGAACUAUUUAUUCUACGAAUGAAUUGUUCCAAAUCCAAAUGGGAGGAACAAAGAAGCUGAAUUCUGCUUCCUAAGAAGCGACUGUCCUUGAGUGUGUCAUAAGUCUGGUUUACGCUUUAGCUCUCUUUCGAACGAUAUAACGUUAUAAGCCUUGACCAUCGUCUAUGCGGUUCAGAAUUUGAUUCCUUUGACCAGCGAAUCCAGAAUAAAAGAGAAGAAACCCGAAAGAGACAAAAAGAGCGAAAGAAAGGAAAAGACAAGAGGAUGGCUACGAAAUCGAGCACGAUUCGCGUAUUAAGAAGCACCCACACGGUCACCCUUGACGAAAUAAAGAACCAGGUGGUGGUGAGCGACGAAGGAGAAAGAGGAAAGAGGAGAACAGGCUUUAGCGGGGCCAGAACACUCGAGCACGAGGGUGUGGAUUACGCGGCGAGCGUGAAACGUGCCAAGAGGCGCGAAAACCGUCGUCACCGCUAGCGUGGAGAGAGAAGGGGAUCCCGAAGCUUCUCCUCCUGGAGAGAGAUCGUCGCUGACGAUCACGACGGGGAACCUUCCGUCGCGGUAGUCGGAAACAGAAGGGAAAAGUGGGAUAGAGAAGAGAUCGUCGAGGAGACAAUGCAUCGUCCUCCAUUGCGACGCGAGUUGAGCCUCCACUCUUCGAGGAAACUGGCGAAGUUUCCGAGCAGCUACGGAGGGAAACGCUUUUCGUCGUCCGACAGCCAAUCCUCUAUUUCUCUCUCACCUUCACCUUUCUCAAAUAAUAGAAGACUCAAGACCUAUCCUACCAUGCACGUUCGCGAAAUUCAUUACAGCGAACAUGUGAGAUACGUGCUACUUUUCGAGCUGUAAUUACCGAAACCGUUACUAAUCGACGCGAUCCAUGGGACAGACACGUACGUAUACCGGUAUGUCCUCGUUGUUCGAUGGUUGGUAAUAUGUUGGGUAGCGGAAGAUAUAUCUAGCGUUUGGGAGACCAAUGUUUUACGGGCCUGCGGAUAUUUACUGGCCGAUUGUGGAGCGUUUCUAGGGCUGGCCUGGCUUGCUGGCCGAAUUGCUCUGUGGGGGUUUGGACGUUCCACGCUGCAGGGGAGUAAAUGUUCCAGUGGUAUCGAAGUUUGAUGGAUGUUUGCAGAGUUGGAUUAUUUUAAAACGGUGGGUAUCUUCAUAAGUGAAAUAUAAAUAGAAAAAUCUAAAUGGUCCUGCUAUCUAUUUCGGUAAUGGUUAAGUUCCUAUCGGUGUCGUUGGACCAUAGGUGGACCAUAGGUGAACCAUAGGGAAUCUAAAUUAUCUAAUUUUACAGCUACUGGUAUCUGUUGAAUGUGUCUAUAUAUGCCAUUCAGAGAUAGUUACGCGAAGGUGGUAUUCCAGUUGAAGACCUAAGAUAUCUCGAUCUACUAAAAAACUUUCGCGCGCAAAGUAAUUUUCCAACUUCGCAAAAACUUGGAAGAGGACUUCAACGACUAUCGACUUUACCCAACUACGUUCUGACCUCCAAUGUAAUCGAUUACAGUCCGAAUAAACAGACUCCUACGUCGCUCAAGGACCUCAUCUGGUCAACCAACGAGAACCAUCUGCCGUUACUUUCCAUGAAAAUUCACCAGUCGUCCAACAAUUGCAGCGUAUCCGCCGAUUAAGCCAUACAAUUGUUCUUCGUCCUCUGAUCUAACCAUUCUCUUUUCUUCUUUCCUUCUGCUCUGCUCGUGGUUCGUCGACAAGCCCUUUCUGAAAAAUUCUUCUGGAAAAUAUCUUUUCCAAUAACGAAUUCCUUCGAAUAGCUGUUACAAACGUCCAGAGUAUUUUAUCUCCUGUCUAUGUCUUUCGAAUCAGUUUUGUAAAGACGACGAUAAAUAACGAUAAAACUAUACUACAUUCGACGAGUAAGACAAACGAAGCGAACGUUUCAGCUACGAUUCAAAACUUCUUGGAUAGACGAGAUUCGGAACAAUCGUCUCUCAUCGCAAUGCUAAUGAAACUCUAAAAUACUCUAUAACACAUACUGUUCGGGAUUUGGAGUGGUCGCCUGGUAAUUACCGCGACGCUUUAUGUGAACCAGAUGCGAUCCGCGGGCAGGACGACCGUCAAGGAUCUACGCUACCCUAGUGCGGACCCACCAUAAACAGUGGGCCUAUUGUACAGUCAAGGUACUUUAGGACCCCACGGAGAAACUUCUUUAUUUUAUGCUACAUCUCAGGAAGACCGGACACGCGGGUUGCCCCAAGUGUAAGGUCACCCGCGCGCGAACCUUUGCGAAGGCAGCCAGCCCAUCCUCGAACAUACGUCUUUACCCAAUGAUCAGUUAGGAACAGACUUGAGACACACCCACCACGAACCUUCCUCUACGACAGCAACAUCACCAAGAGUCACUCUUGCACCAGUAUUCUAAGAGUCAACGUUAACAGUAUUCAGUCAGUGACCAUUAUAUUUAACAGGAUAGCCAGUGAACUAAAGACAGUUGUAUUCGGAGUAUUAAGUGGAACCCAGUGAACUUAAAGACAGUUGUAUUCAAAGUAUUAAGUGGAACCCAGUGAACUAAAGACAGUUGUAUUCGGAGUAUUAAGUGGAACCCAGUGAACUUAAAGACAGUUGUAUUCGGAGUAUCGAGUGGAAUAAAUAAGGUGAACUAAACCUCGCUCUGUACAUUUAUUAUAAUUCUCCACCUUGGACGCUAAUAACGUUCAAGGCUCGCGAUACCAACCGAUCAGUUGUGCCUGACUGGUCGAUAGUUAGCCGAGUGUCGCAACACAUACAAUAUGUACAUAAGAGUUUUCUACGGUAACAGUUCAAAUACUCUUGUGAGCCACUAUAAGUGCGUUCCACUUGCCAAUUUUCUUUUACACGGGGUACUUUUCUUCGUACGUCCCAUGGAUAACGAAACGCAAAUCCCUUGGCGAUAUUUCUGUCGAGUCACGAGAAAUUCGAUCGGUGGAUGAGUCCUUUUUUUUUUAUCAGGGAUCAUCGAUGUAUAAUUCAGAGCAGAAUUGACGGGGGUAGUCGGGGUGGAUCUCUCCGAAACAAUGCGGCGUGCGUAGUCGAGUGUGCGAUUGCACAUCGUCAAGCGUAUUUCAUCGAUCAGGCACGGCCAGUGAAUUUGUAUCGAACGGCGAGUUGUCGCGAUGCAAAUUUCAUCGCCACUCGCCGUUGUAUCUGCUGUUUUAUAAUCCCUUGUUGGGAAUUUUGUAACGUUGUAAAUCGUAAUUUCGAGCCAAUCAACGCGAAUGCUCCGAUACGUUCGAUUGACGGAGGAGAAAUUUCGAAUGGCGCCUGCUAACUUCGUUACAUUACUUAUGCAUUACCUAUAUGGUAAAAUAAAAACAGAAUAAGUGGUUAAUCGAGAUGGAGAAACAUUUUUAAGCCUUUGGCGAUCGCAGUGAUCGCGUUCGUUCAUAAUAAAUUUAAUGAGUGAAAAAGCUUGAUAAUUAUUAGGAAAUUAUUAAAGCCUUUAAGCGUUUUUAUCUCAUUUUAAAUCGUACAUUGCAAAGAAUUCGUAUGUAUAUUCGUGAAUAUAAUAAUCUUACCAAUUACGCAUAUAAAUAAAUUAAAUUCUUCGUUCAUAUAUAUCUACGAAAGAGUUUUAAGUAGAACGACGGGAAUUUUCGACUUGAAGCAAGCAAGCAAGCAAGUUUUAUGUAAAUUAACUUUAAAUAAAAAUAGAAAUGAAAGACUGUUCGAGUGGAAUAGGGGUAAAUGUUUGGGUAGAGAAAUAUCAAUAGAUGGUAUUGAACAGAGCGGAACGUGGAUGCACUAAGCAUGAAUUUACCGAGCAGCGUGAAGCGUGCAAAUUCACGGACGACCCAUUGACCAUCCAAAUUGUUGAUCGAUAAUGUCGCACGGCAAGAUGUACGCAAUAAGGGACAACAAAGACUCGAGUAUCUGGGACUGGAAUGUACUCUCCUCUAAAGCGGCUAUGCAAUUAACACCCUUCCAGAGGGACAUUGUUAACACGCCUAUCUAGAUAGUUUGGGGAUGAUAAAUGCUGAAACGUCUGAAACAUCAUACGCUGAACAAUUUCGAUGUGCCCAGUGGAGAUUUACGAGGGAAUUCAACAUGCUCCGAGAUUCGGAUAAUAUUAAUAGAUAAAUUGCUAUCGUAGAAAUACGAUUGUUUGAUUAAUUUUAUUUUUAAAAAAUUGUGGUUCACUGCGAUACUUAUUUUUAUAAACACGAUCGAAAAAGCGGAAACCAAAUAUAGACGUUCGUUUUAUCUUCUAAAUGCGAUAACGAAUAUUAUAAAACGUCGGUAUUCGUUUCACGAAGGAAGAAACGACGCUUUAAACUGUUAAACAGCAAUUAAUCAAAGCUGAAAAACGUGAUAGACGAUUACGUAAUAACGAGCUCUGUUUACCGAUCGAUCAUAAAUCUUCGUGUAGAUCGCAGUCGAUGUAGCUAACGACACUCUUUCAAAUUAUACUUCCGGAAAGGCAGCCAGCGUUUCCUGGUACCAAUCAGAAAUAUACGCUGUUCCGUGUAUCGGUUAUCAGCGAUCUAUUCGCGGUAGUGGCAAAUCGAACCCAAGAGGUGUGCGUGAGACCGCCGCGAUUUUUUCCAUCCUGUUCAUGCAAAUGCCAGUCGCGCUUUACGACUUCUAACGAACCUCAUUGCCACUGCCUUCAAUUUUAUUCCCGAUCCAUCCUAUCGAUACUUUUAUUCCUUUCGCAAACGAGAAAUAAAAAAGGAAAAGGAAGAAAAAAGAAGAAACUACAAGCGUCGCCAUGAUGAAGCAAAAAAAAAGUACUGAAAAAGAAGAAGUACAGUACGUUAUUCGAUUUUUUCUUAUUUUGCGUGAAAAUAAAUUUUCUCUCGCGUAUAUGACUUCGCGACGAAAGAAAAUGCAAAAGUUUACUCCAGACUUCCCGAGUUUCAAAUAUUCGCGCUGGUUUAACUCUUUGAGCGAGGCAAUGUUUUCUUAUUAAUUAACCAAUUAAUUAAUUUAAGUCACUAGUAACGUAUUAGAACUAUCCAGUUUCUCGUAUUGAAAAUCGAAGUACACAUUGCUGUAUAGUCGAGGCAAAACGUAACUGGCGAUGCUAUUCGAUUGCACCGGCUAAUGGAAAAUUUUCCGACCCGGUUGCAAGAAUGUAUUAGGUGAGGUCACUUGGAAAAUGUCGUGUUUGGAAAUAAUCGAACAAUUAGGAAAUUGCAUUAGGUAAUUAUUUUUUAAACAACUACGUGUUUCCAGAUAGAUCUUGAUCACACGUUGAUAAAAUCUAUUCGAUCGAUUAUUGGAAAUAACGUAUAAAGAAUGUUGGCAUUUCCAUCUCUUAGAGGUACUCAAAUCUUUUCGCACUCUAGAAGAUUGGCAUCUCGGAACCAUUUGAUUUAGAGAAAAAUUCAAGCGAAUGUCUGCGAUCGUUUCUGAGGAAAGAAUUUGUAACGUUUCACGCGUAUAAAAUUCUACAGAGGAAGUACUUGUAAAUAUUAGGUUGCCCGAAAAGUGUCUUUCUUUCGCAAACGUGUUUUUUACAACAGUGCAAGCUUCAUACAAACGUGAAACCAAGUCUGUGAAAUGUCGCGGUGUUUAUCUCAAGAGAACAAGAUGGAUCGUACGUAAUUCGACAAAAUAAUAUAAAACAAAAAACAUUGUGCGUCUAUUAUUUCCUCAUAAAACGAAAGAAACUUUUCAUCCAAGUUCCAACUAUAUUUUAUAUAUAGUACAUUCUAACGAAAAUGACAUUUUAAAACAUCUUCAGGAUUAAGGAGCAGAAGAUACUCCGAGUGGAAUGAAAGAAUACCGAAUGGUUGAGGAAGUUUUCACGAGUCGAUCCAUUGAGCACCGAUAAUCAAACGAUCGUCUAAAUAAUAUGCGUCGCAAACAAGUUUUCAGGGAUAUUCGACUACGGUGGAAUAUUCAACCUCUCGACCAAACGAGAAUAAUCGUCCACGUCUGCGAAAUUCAUGGACCGACCGCGAGAGAUAUCGUUAAAUAUUUGUGUCGGUCGUUAUCGAGACGCCGGCGAAUGCACCUUCGCCUGACCCUCCAAUCAUGCCUCGUGGAUAUGGAAAUUCGGUAUUUUUCGUUUACCCGUUAACUCUCUCUCCCUCUCUCGUUCCUGUAACACGAACGAUCGUAGUUUGCUUGGAGGGUGAGGCUGAAACGCAACGUCAUUUGCAUUUCGCGUAAAUAACACGGACACGCCGUAUGAAAUCUCCAUCCUUGCGGAUGUUUCGAAUUUUCAAUUUGUUCUGAUUUUUCCCUUCCUUGCAUGUUUAAUGGAAGGUUAAUUGCAAAGUGGUUAAAAGAUCGAGGAUGUAAAACGCAGAAUAAAUGUUCGUUUCACCGAUCUAAAUUGUUUCUCUCGAGUGAAAACGAUAUUUACCAAAUUACGAUUUUUAUAUUUAUCGAAGCAAUAUUUUCGAUUUUGAAGAAACUCGAUGACGAAACUCUUCGCGAAUAAUCCAGCAUGGAUUUCAGAAAUAAUUCUUUUCCCUCGCUACCCUAUGAAAUGUCCACUCUGAAACGCACUUUUUCCUACGUUCACACCAACCCACUCGACUUCACUGUCUCUCGUACUGUAUUAUUCGUCUCUUAUUUGUCAGCUUAACCCCUUAACCUACGAUUUACGUUCGAGAAUUUUCGAAAACGUAACAAGCUAUUGUAUAUUAUAUUAUACAGGGUGGUUGGUAACUGGUGGUACAAGCGGAAAGGGGGUGAUUCUACGCGAAAAAGGAAGUCGAAAAUACAGAAUAAAAAUUUUUCGUUCGAGGCUUUGUUUUCGAGAAAAUCGACUUUGAAUUUUCGCUCGGUACGCGUGCAGUACGUUAUAACGGAUCUCACUGUAGAUCGUUGUCUCGAUGGAAAAAUUAAAAAAAAAAAAAUUUUUGUUCUAUAUUUUCGACUUCUUUUUUCGCGUAAAAUCACCCCCUUUCCGCUUGUACCACCAGUUACCAACCAUCCUGUAUAUUAUAUUUGGCCCGAUCAUCGUACUACGGACUGUGCCCGUAAUAUUUACCUCUGGCUCGAUCACCGUAUUACGGACUAUGCCCGUAGUCGUAGGUUAAAUAUAGGAUUAUACAGCGGUGUAAGCGUUAUCGCGCGAGAGAACACGGAGGAGAGAGCGCGGAACAAUCUUUAUCGGAUCGCCACCGCCGACCAGAUGAUAUCUCCUAAACUGAACUUGGAGGGAACUCUCCGUGCAUUCAUGCGCCGUAUCUAGUCGUGUAAUGAGUUCGAUCCUGUCGUAAAACUCACGAAUAAACGAGCAUUCGCGAAACCAAGCUGCGGGCAAAGUGAAUUUAAGGGUAUACAGGUUUCUUUCUUUUUCUGCCUUCAAGCGUCGCUAGAUAAAUCGCACUAUUUUGCAACUUCAUGCCUUUAGAGCAAAAGAGUUUUACGGGUUUACGCGUCUCUUACGAAAUAAUCUUGCAAAACGAAGGCAAUUGUUCGUAGGACGCUGUGUUAAUUAAUUUCAGUCAAAUUUUAAACGUAUUUCGCAAAUAUUCGCAAAAAUUUAUUUUCUAGAUUAUAAUUUUAAUUAAUAGUUUUGGAAAUUAGUAUACGAUUGUUAAAAGGUAAAGAUAUAAUCGAUAGGAAAUGUGGAUAGUAGAAAUAUUUUGAAAUAAACACGAGGAAAUUGAAUUAUAUUGAUAUUGAUUUAGCAGAGUGGCUCUUAAGUAGAAAAUCCCAGUAUGCGAUCAGACAGAAUCACAGUGGUUUUCAAUAGAGAGUAUCGAAUAUUCAACGCAAUUUGUUCAACCAAUAUUCUCGCAGAAAAUACAAGUAGCUCGUGAAAACCGUUAUCAUUUUCAAAUCACAAACUUAUACUAUUCCCAACGAGCCACGUUUUACCAUGCGCUGUAUUUCCUCAGCCGA
Long non-coding RNA from Bombus huntii, 15327 nucleotides. RefSeq lists it as uncharacterized. The transcript is spliced from 3 exons. Lineage: Eukaryota; Metazoa; Arthropoda; Insecta; Hymenoptera; Apidae. The record is from RefSeq and is a predicted model, not a curated record.